UUAUUAUUUCAAACCUCAUACAAACGGAACAAUUUUCUACUCGUGCAGCUGAAUACCUUAACGAUGAAUUUCACAUAUUUAGGUGAAUCUUGCGAUGUUUCUAAGCCAGUUGAAAGAGUUGGUUGCGGUAAAGUGGGAAUAACGGAAAGCCAAUGUGAAGCAAUAGGAUGUUGUUGGGAUGACCACAGAGGGUGUCCACAACUGUUAUAGAAGAGUACGUCUUCCAGAACUUGCUUAGGACAAAAAGGAGUUUGGUGGUACACGCGAGGAUGAAUAGUAUAGUCACAUGAAAUGUAGUUGUGUAUUCAAGGGUACUCCUUUGUCAUGGCAUUGUAAACAUUCGCGUUGAAAUAAAUCUGCAAGUUAA
Molecule: long non-coding RNA, 367 nt
Organism: Xenia sp. Carnegie-2017
Lineage: Eukaryota; Metazoa; Cnidaria; Anthozoa; Malacalcyonacea; Xeniidae
Exons: 2
Source: RefSeq, a predicted model, not a curated record